This 400-nucleotide ribosomal RNA is filed under the name uncultured bacterium. Its description in RNAcentral is "bacterial SSU rRNA". It matches the Rfam family "Bacterial small subunit ribosomal RNA", at positions 355 to 752 of the family's 1533-position model. The record is from RNAcentral.
UGAGGAAUAUUGGUCAAUGGGCGCGAGCCUGAACCAGCCAAGUAGCGUGAAGGAUGACUGCCCUAUGGGUUGUAAACUUCUUUUAUAAAGGAAUAAAGUGGUCCACGUGUGGAUUUUUGUAUGUACUUUAUGAAUAAGGAUCGGCUAACUCCGUGCCAGCAGCCGCGGUAAUACGGAGGAUCCAAGCGUUAUCCGGAUUUAUUGGGUUUAAAGGGAGCGUAGAUGGAUGUUUAAGUCAGUUGUGAAAGUUCGGGGCUCAACCCCGGAAUUGCAGUUGAUACUGGAUAUCUUGAGUACAGUUGAGGUAGGCGGAAUUCGUGGUGUAGCGGUGAAAUGCUUAGAUAUCACGAAGAACUCCGAUUGCGAAGGCAGCUUACUAAGCUGUAACUGACAUUGAGGC